UACGGAGGGGGCUAGCGUUGUUCGGAAUUACUGGGCGUAAAGGGCGCGUAGGUGGCGUCGUAAGUCUGUGGUGAAAGCCCGGAGCUCAACUCCGGGUCUGCCGCGGAUACUGCGAGGCUUGAGUGCUGUAGAGGGGGGUAGAAUGCCGGGUGUAGCGGUGGAAUGCGUAGAGAUCCGGAAGAACACCGGUGGCGAAGGCGGCUCACUGGCUCAUUUCUGACGCUCAGGCGCGACAGCGUGGGGAUCAAACAGG
Molecule: ribosomal RNA, 253 nt
Filed under: uncultured bacterium
Lineage: Bacteria
Description: partial 16S ribosomal RNA
Rfam family: Bacterial small subunit ribosomal RNA
Source: RNAcentral